This 73-nucleotide transfer RNA is filed under the name Paramuricea clavata. It matches the Rfam family "tRNA". Rfam says of the family: Transfer RNA (tRNA) molecules are approximately 80 nucleotides in length. Their secondary structure includes four short double-helical elements and three loops (D, anti-codon, and T loops). Lineage: Eukaryota; Metazoa; Cnidaria; Anthozoa; Malacalcyonacea; Plexauridae. The record is from Rfam by way of RNAcentral.
GACUGCGUAGCUCAGUCGGCAAAGCAUUGGACUAGUAUCCCAAAGGUCGCGGGUUCGAUUCCCACCGUGGCUU